RNAcentral lists this long non-coding RNA (326 nucleotides) under Homo sapiens (human). RNAcentral describes it as "non-protein coding lnc-INTS11-2:1". The record is from RNAcentral. Lineage: Eukaryota; Metazoa; Chordata; Mammalia; Primates; Hominidae.
AGCAGAGAGCUGGACACGGGGCUUGGGGCUCAGGCAGUCGGCCUCCGGGUCUCCAAGGUGAAGCAGGAAGUGGGUGGUCGGGGCCGGGUGGUGGCUGAGGGCAGGGGCCACAGCGGUGCCGCCCACAGGAUGCCCUCACCGUGGUGGUGGAUGACCUCCGCCUGUGCUCUGUGAAGCCGUGUGAGGACAUCGAGCGGAGGUUCUGCUUCGAGGUGCUGUCACCCACCAAGAGCUGCAUGCUGCAGGCUGACUCCGAGAAGCUGCGGCAAGCCUGGGUCCAGGCUGUGCAGGCCAGCAUCGCCUCCGCCUACCGCGAGAGCCCUGAC